CUGCUGCCUCCCGUAGGAGUUUGGACCGUGUCUCAGUUCCAAUGUGGGGGACCUUCCUCUCAGAACCCCUACGCAUCGUCGGCUUGGUGGGCCGUUGCCCCACCAACUACCUAAUGCGCCGCAUGCCCAUCCAUGACCGGGGUCGCCCCCUUUGACCGGCAGGGGAUGUCUCCUCCCGGCAUUAUGUUGUAUUAGGCGGGAUUUCUCCCGGUUAUCCAUCUGUCACGGCCAGGUUGCAUACGUGUUACUCACCCGUGCGCCGGUCG
Molecule: ribosomal RNA, 266 nt
Filed under: uncultured bacterium
Lineage: Bacteria
Description: partial 16S ribosomal RNA
Source: RNAcentral